This 74-nucleotide non-coding RNA is filed under the name bovine gut metagenome. The record is from RNAcentral.
CAGGGCGCGUCUUGGCUGAGAACAGACCCGCAAAACCUGAUCCGGGUAAUGCCGGCGGAGGAAGCAGAUGAACA